GCCCGAGUGGUGGAACUGGCAGACACACUGCACUCAAAAUGCAGCGCCUCAGGCGUGACGGUUCAAAUCCGUCCUUGGGUACCA
This 84-nucleotide transfer RNA is filed under the name Stenotrophomonas phage YB07. RNAcentral describes it as "tRNA-Leu". It matches the Rfam family "tRNA". Rfam says of the family: Transfer RNA (tRNA) molecules are approximately 80 nucleotides in length. Their secondary structure includes four short double-helical elements and three loops (D, anti-codon, and T loops). The record is from RNAcentral. Lineage: Duplodnaviria; Heunggongvirae; Uroviricota; Caudoviricetes. RNAcentral also lists the same sequence under 7 other names.